Long non-coding RNA from Mytilus californianus (California mussel), 1572 nucleotides. RefSeq lists it as uncharacterized. NCBI's taxonomy places the organism in Eukaryota, Metazoa, Mollusca, Bivalvia, Mytilida, Mytilidae. The record is from RefSeq and is a predicted model, not a curated record. The transcript has 3 exons.
GAUACCCCACGUCCCCACAUUGUCAUUGGAGAAAUAAAAUAUGUGUAAGAAAAAAAAAUUGUAUAACAAAAAAAAAAUUGAAUCAUAAUUUCCUGUCAAUAUGCACAUCUACAUAGUAUGCCCUUAUUAUCUACAAAGUUUCAUGAAAUUAUGUUGUGUGGUUUCAGAGGAGUUGCGAUGACAAACUGUUGCAGAAGUACAUUGAAGCAAAUAAGUUCAAAGGGGCGUAACUCCUAGAAAAAAAAUUGAAUCAUAAUUUCCUGUCGAUAUGCACAUCUACAUAGUAUGUCCUUAUUAUCUAAAAAGGUUUCAUGAAAUUCUGUUGUGUGGUAUCAGAGGAGUUGCAAUGACAAACUGUUGCAGUAGUACAUUGAAGCAAAUAAGUUCAAAGGGGCGUAACUCCUAGAAAAAAAAUUGAACCGUAAUUUCCUGUCGAUAUGCACAUCUACAUAGUAUGUCCUUAUUAUCUAAAAAGGUUUCAUGAAAUUCUGUUUUGUGGUAUCAGAGGAGUUGCGAUGACAAACUGUUGCAUAGUACAUUGAAGCAAAUAAGUUCAAAGGGGCGUAACUCCUAGAAAAAAAAUUGAACCAUAAUUUCCUGUCGAUAUGCACAUCUACAUAGUAUGUCCUUAUUAUCUACAAAGUUUCAUGAAAUUCUGUUGUGUGGUUUCAGAGGAGUUGCAAUGACAAACUGUUGCAGUAGUACAUUGAAGCAAAUAAGUUCAAAGGGGCGUAACUCCUAGAAAAAAAAUUGAACCGUAAUUUCCUGUCGAUAUGCACAUCUACAUAGUAUGUCCUUAUUAUCUAAAAAGGUUUCAUGAAAUUCUGUUUUGUGGUAUCAGAGGAGUUGCGAUGACAAACUGUUGCAUAGUACAUUGAAGCAAAUAAGUUCAAAGGGGCGUAACUCCUAGAAAAAAAAUUGAACCGUAAUUUCCUGUCGAUAUGCACAUCUACAUAGUAUGUCCUUAUUAUCUAAAAAGGUUUCAUGAAAUUCUGUUGUGUGGUAUCAGAGGAGUUGCGAUGACAAACUGUUGCAGUAGUACAUUGAAGCAAAUAAGUUCAAAGGGACGUAACUCCUAGAAAAAAAUUGAACCGUAAUUUCCUGUCAAUAUGUACAUCUACAUAGUAUGUCCUUAUUAUCUAAAAAGGUUUCAUGAAAUUCUGUUGUGUGGUAUCAGAGGAGUUGCGAUGACAAACUGUUGCAGUAGUACAUUGAAGCAAAUAAGUUCAAAGGGGCGUAACUCCUAGAAAAAAAAUUGAAUGGUAAUUUCCUGUCAAUAUGCACAUCUACAUAGUAUGUCCUUAUUAUCUAAAAAGGUUUCAUGAAAUUCUGUUGUGUGGUAUCAGAGGAGUUGCAAUGACAAACUGUUGCAGUAGUACAUUGAAGCAAAUAAGUUCAAAGGGGCGUAACUCCUAGAAAAAAAAUUGAAUCGCAAUUUCCUGUCGAUAUGCACAACUGCAUAGUAUGUCCUUAUUAUCUAAAAAGGUUUCGUGAAAUUCUGUUGUGUGGUUUGAGAGGAGUUGCGAUGACAAGAAACAGGACUGACGGACGGACGGGUCAAAAACAUUAUAC